AAGGCUGCAGACUCAGCUGUCAGCACAGAGCCUGAUGAGGGACUCGAACUUAUGAACUUUGAGAUCUUGACCUGAGCCAAAGUCAGACACUUAGCCAAUUGAGCCAUCCAGGCGCCCCACAAAUGACCCAGUUUAAGAGAUGGCUCAAAGAUUUUGGAAACUUCACCAGAGGAUAUAUGCACAUGGCUAGUAAGCAUAUAAAAGAUGCAGAGCAUCACUGGUCGUUAGGUACAUGCAAAUCAAGAUGACAGUGAAAGAAUUCACACCCACAGCAAUGAGUGUAAUCAAAAGGGACGGAUAAUCAGUGUUGUUGGGAUUGUGGAGAAAUUGGAGCUUCCAUUCAUUUCUGGUGAGAAUGUAUGUAGUGUGGCUAAUUAACCUCAAAAAGUUAAACUGAGCUGCCAAUUCCAUUCCUAGGUAUAUACCCAAGAGGAUUAAAAAUGUCACAAUCCGUUGUCUAUUAUCUGAUGAAUGGAUAAGUAAAAUGUGGUAGAUCUAUAAAAUGGAAUAUUUGGAAAUACAAAGGAAUGAAAUACUGGUAUGUAUUACAACUUGGCUGAACCUCAUAAACAUUAUGCUAGGUGAAAGAAGCUAGUCCUGAAACACCACAUUUCAUAUGAUUCAAAUUGUGUGAAAUAUCCCCAAUAGGCAAAUCUAUAUAAAGACAAAGAAUGAGGAGUGACUGUUAAUAUAUUGUUACAAGGUUUCUUUUUGGGAUGAUGAAGUUGUUAAAAAACUAGAUUGUGGUAAUGGUUGCAUAACUCUGUACAUAAAUUGAAUACUUUAAGUUGUUGAGCUUUAUAAUUUGUGUAUUUCAAUAAAGCUGUUAACAAAAGAAGACUACGAUGAGAUAUCUCUAUUGUGUACCUGUUAGAAAGGAUGAAAUUGUAAAGGACGACCAUACCAAAUGUUGGUGAGAAUGUGGAACAACCGGUGCUUUCGUGUACUGCUGGUGGGAAUGUAAAAUGGUACGGCCACUUUGAAAAUCAGUGUAGCGGUUUCUUAGAAAGUUAAACAUGCACUUAACACAUGAUCCAGCCAUAGCACUCCUAGGGGUUUACUAGGAGAAAUGAAUGCCUACAAACUCGUAUGUGCACGUACAUAGCAGUUUUAUUUGUAAAAUCCCAAAACUUGCACUAGCCCAAAUGCCCAUCAACAGACGAAUGGAUAAACAAAUUGUGACACAUCCAUACAGUGGAAUACUAGUCUGUGCUAAAAAGAAAUGAACUUUUGAUACACGUAACAACAUAGAUGAAUCUCAAAAUAGGAUGAGUGAAAGAAGAAGCCAGGGUAUGUGCCACUUACAUAAAACUCUAGAGAAUGCAAGUUAAUCCGAAGUACUGGAAUGCAGAUAGGUACUUGCUUAGGAAUGGGGCGGAGAGGAGAGUGGGACAGUGAGAUUAUCAAGGAACUUGAGUUAAUUUUGGUGGUGAUGGAUACCUUAUUUCAGUUGUGGUGACCGUUUUAUCAUUGUCAAGUGUACCAAGUGAUAUUUAAGCACAUUUUAUUGAAUGUCACUUAUUCCUCAAUAAAGCUAUUUUUAAAAAUCUAUUGGGUUAUUUUUUUACUCAUGCAUGGUUUUGUAGCAUGUUGUAUUGAUCUUUUGGUAGAUAGUCGCUGAGUUCUGCAUAUCUUCCAAAUGGUAGUAGAAAAGCUUCCAUUCACUAACGUCACCACCUAGCUCGUCUUGAAAAGCCUUUUAGGUAUUAGAGAGGCUGUUAUGCUCGUUGUGAUGGAUACAAGUUUUCUAAAAUCAUAAUUUUUGUCUGAAAGUUUGAUUUUUAUUAUUGGCAGUAAAUAUCGUUAGUUGUUUUCCUUCACUCCUGGGCUGACUUGAUUCUUUUGUGAUAAAAUGUCUGCCGAAUACUUAGACCUGAAUAACUGUUUUUGUUUUCUCAGUUUUUUUUACCCAUGGUAAACAUGAUGUUUCAAAAAACAACAUGAUGUUCCAUGGAAGGAAAAAACAGCUAGUCCAGCUGGCAAGUCCAAAGAAUUGUACAAGUGCUGUUUCUUGUGGUAGCCAUUGCUGUCGAGCUCAAGUCCAGGAUGCUGAGCCCACACUCCCUGUAUUUUCCAAUUCUAAACCUUCCACUUGGUUUUUUGAAUCUUCUUUUUCUUUUUUUUUUUUCUGUUUGUUUGUUUGUUUUUUGCAGUCUUGGUCUAGUGAGGAGACAGAAAACACACAGUAAUUUAGCCAGAGGAAGUUGAAAGAAUUAUUAAGCUACAGUAAGAGCGUAGCUAUAAAGGUGUAAAGCAUACUGUAAAGGGUACUUUGGACAAGAGGGAGUCUAUCCAAGUAGGGACACAUUCUGAAUUGGUGGGGCCCCCCCUCCGUCUGUGGUUCAGACAUUGGAGAAAUGUGGAGUUGUUCAGAGCUGGUCUGCAGUUUCUGGGCAAGCAGGAAGCAACCCUCCAGGGUGCAGGCAAGCCAGAGUUGAUGGAUGGGCAUGCAGAGGAAGUUGGAUACCAUUGUUAGGUACAAGGCCUGGAGUGUAUUGGGUUCUUCUUACCAGUAGGAUUGUGAAAAGGUAGACAUUAUAACAGACCUACUGACAGUGCAGCAGGAGCCGGAAAACCACUUCCUUCUUCUUGCCUUGUCCCUCCAGCACCCUGUACUGACAUGUUUGUGUAAAGAAAGGCUUAAGGAUUCAGUCUCUUACCACUGGACGGACUGAAGAACGAAUCUGGAGCUGAGAGGGAAUGCGUUGAUACCUGGCCCACCCCUCCCAAAGCCAUUGGAGCCACUGCCUGUGCUGCUGGCAGAAUCACCACCGGGAUCUGUAACUACUGCAGGAGUCGACAGCACCUGCAGACCUAUAGCUCCAUAUUCUAAUCAUGAGCAAAACAUGAGACAUUCUGAAAAAGACAUCCUACAACAUACCUACCCAAUACUCCUUAAAACAACCGAAGUCAUCAGAAACAAGGAAAGCCUAAGAAACUGCUAGAGCCAAGAGAAACUCUUAGCCAAGCUAAGGAGACAUGGCAGCUAAAUAAACGUCAGGUGGAUUUUGGAACAAAAAAAAAAAAAGGACAUUUGGUGCAGAGAAAGGAAAUCUGAAUGAACUGUUGAUUUUAGUUUAUGAUAAUGUGUGAAUAUUAGUUCAUUAGAUUCAAACAAAAGUACCAUCCUAAUGUAAGGUGUUAAAAACGUGAUACUAGGUGCUGUGUGUGUGAGAACACUGCGCUGUCUUCUCAGAUUUUCUGUAAAUGUAAACUUGUUCUGGAAAAUAAAGUCUUUUAAUAAUUUA
Prionailurus viverrinus (fishing cat) is the source of this 3248-nucleotide long non-coding RNA. RefSeq lists it as uncharacterized. The transcript is spliced from 2 exons. Lineage: Eukaryota; Metazoa; Chordata; Mammalia; Carnivora; Felidae. The record is from RefSeq and is a predicted model, not a curated record.